This 468-nucleotide ribosomal RNA is filed under the name uncultured bacterium. RNAcentral's name for it is "partial 16S ribosomal RNA". It matches the Rfam family "Bacterial small subunit ribosomal RNA", at positions 28 to 507 of the family's 1533-position model. The record is from RNAcentral.
GACGAACGCUGGCGGCGUGCUUAACACAUGCAAGUCGAACGAAAAGGCCCUGCUUUUGUGGGGUGCUCGAGUGACCAACGGGUGAGUAACACGUAAGUAACCUGCACCUGACUUUGGGAUAACUUAAGGAAACUGGGGCUCAUCCCGCCUAGGAGCUCUUGCUGCUUGGUGGGGGUUGGAAGGUUUCGGCGGUUGGUGAUGGACUCGCGGCUUAUCGGCUUGAUGGUGGGGUAGUGGCUUACCAAGGCUUUGACGGGUAGCCGGCCUGAGAGGGUGACCGGCCAAAUUGGGACUGAGCUGCGGCCCAGACUACUACGGGAGGCAGAAGUGGAGAAGAGAGCACUAGGGGCGGAAGCCUGAUGUAGCAACGCCGCGUGGGGGGUGUCGGCCUUCGGGUUGUAUACCGCUUCCGCCUGUGACGAAGCGUGAGUGACGGUAAUGGGUAAAGAAGCACCGGCUAACUACGUG